AUACGGAGGGGGCUAGCGUUGUUCGGAAUUACUGGGCGUAAAGCGCGCGUAGGCGGUUUGGUCAGUCGGAUGUGAAAGCCCCAGGCUCAACCUGGGCAUGGCAUUCGAUACUGCCUGACUAGAGUAUGGUAGAGGGAAGUGGAAUUUCCGGUGUAGCGGUGAAAUGCGUAGAUAUCGGAAGGAACACCAGUGGCGAAGGCGACUUCCUGGGCCAAUACUGACGCUGAGGUGCGAAAGCGUGGGGAGCAAACAGGAUUAGAUACCCUAGUAGUCC
This 274-nucleotide ribosomal RNA is filed under the name uncultured bacterium. Its description in RNAcentral is "partial 16S ribosomal RNA". It matches the Rfam family "Bacterial small subunit ribosomal RNA", at positions 523 to 796 of the family's 1533-position model. The record is from RNAcentral.